GGGAUUACCUCAGUAACGGCGAGUGAAGCGGUAACAGCUCAAAUUUGAAAUCUGGCUCUUUCAGGGUCCGAGUUGUAAUUUGUAGACGAUGCUUUGGGUGUGGUGCCGGUCUAAGUUCCUUGGAACAGGACGUCAUAGAGGGUGAGAAUCCCGUAUGUGAUCGGUCGCCUUCGCCCGUGUAAAGCUCGUUCGACGAGUCGAGUUGUUUGGGAAUGCAGCUCAAAAUGGGUGGUAAAUUUCAUCUAAAGCUAAAUAUUGGCCAGAGACCGAUAGCGCACAAGUAGAGUGAUCGAAAGAUGAAAAGCACUUUGGAAAGAGAGUUAAACAGUACGUGAAAUUGUUGAAAGGGAAGCGCUUGCAACCAGACUUGGGCUGUCGCAAUCAUCCGGGGCUCGCCCCGGUGCACUUGUGGCGGCACAGGCCAGCAUCAGUUUCGGUGGUGGGAUAAAGGCCUUGGGAAUGUAGCUUCUUUCGGGGAGUGUUAUAGCCCUCGGUGCAAUGCCGCCUACCGGGACUGAGGACCGCGCUUCGGCUAGGAUGCUGGCGUAAUGGUUGUAAGCGACCCGUCUUGAAACACGGACCAAGGAGUCUAACAUCUAUGCGAGUGUUUGGGUGUCAAACCCAUACGCGUAAUGAAAGUGAACGGAGGUGAGAACCCGUUAGGGUGCAUCAUCGACCGAUCCUGAUGUCUUCGGAUGGAUUUGAGUAAGAGCAUAGCUGUUGGGACCCGAAAGAUGGUGAACUAUGCCUAAAUAGGGUGAAGCCAGAGGAAACUCUGGUGGAGGCUCGCAGCGGUUCUGACGUGCAAAUCGAUCGUCAAAUUUGGGUAUAGGGGCGAAAGACUAAUCGAACCAUCUA
Molecule: ribosomal RNA, 858 nt
Filed under: Tricladium obesum
Lineage: Eukaryota; Fungi; Ascomycota; Leotiomycetes; Helotiales; Tricladiaceae
Description: eukaryotic LSU rRNA
Rfam family: Eukaryotic large subunit ribosomal RNA
Source: RNAcentral